UCUGCCGCGUCGGUUGUGCCAAGGCGCACGAACACAGUACCGUACCGUACCGAAGCGUACCGUACCUUUCCAGGCCGACAUUUGCCGACGGCGUCGGAUGAGCCCUAACGCGUAAAUAAACUAUUCAUUUUGUGAGCCCAGCUUUGCUACGCUUAAUGGAAUAUUUCAACCGAAUGUGGAAUAGAACAUGGCGAAUUUAGUCAAAAUGCGUGCAAUUAUUCAACGCCUGACAACCAAUUAAUUGGCUAAAGAGUGCGCCAGGCAGGCAGCCAGCCAGCCAGCAGUGAGAACGGGAGAGCCGGAGCGAGUACACAGAGCUCGAGGCAACAAGUUAGGCGCAACCGUCGAGCCGGUUAGCGCCUCCCAAGUGCAUCAACAAACAGCAAACAGAGCGGCAGUGGCAGGCAGUGGCAGUGGCAGUGGCAGCAGCCACAAAAACUUGACCGAUUUUUCAAUCAAUUCGGCGACGGCCGUGUCGCUAAUCUCGCCCAGAGAGCUCCGUUCACAAUCGCCAUCGAAAUCGCGAUGAUUUAUGCAGCUUGUUUGGAAAAUUCCAUCAGAAUUCCAGAGCCCAAAUACUCGAUCUCGCACAUAUUUGAUAUGUAAACCGCGAAUCGUGUAAACAAUAGAGUAAACAUUCCACAAGCCGACGAUAUUGGGUGGCUGCGCUCCGUUUGACUUGACUAUUUGGGGGCGUGCAUAUUGACAUUGA
Molecule: long non-coding RNA, 712 nt
Organism: Drosophila subobscura
Lineage: Eukaryota; Metazoa; Arthropoda; Insecta; Diptera; Drosophilidae
Exons: 3
Source: RefSeq, a predicted model, not a curated record